This is a long non-coding RNA of Brassica napus (rape), 420 nucleotides long. RefSeq lists it as uncharacterized. The record is from RefSeq and is a predicted model, not a curated record. The transcript has 2 exons. NCBI's taxonomy places the organism in Eukaryota, Viridiplantae, Streptophyta, Magnoliopsida, Brassicales, Brassicaceae.
AAAAAUCAUCAAAGACGAAGACUCACACAAACAAAAAAUGAAGAACAUAGUCUACAAAGAAAUCUUCAACCGCCUUCGUUCACAUGAAAUAUUCGAGCUAUCAACAGAAAUGAAUCAGUGUUAAAACUCAUUCCCUUAUGAUGAAUACCUCGCUACUUCCAAGUACGUCUCCAUAUUCUAUUAGUUAAGUAAAUUGAUUCCUAUUACUAAGUUAUGUUCACUGAUUUAUUUCAAAAUAAAUUUCAGGCUCUUUAACUGAAGAAAUUUCCAUCACAUCUGCCACCCUCUCCCUCAAAAAUUCUACCAUUUUAUUUAUAAUUUCUGCUUCUUUGUUUUAAGACUUUAGCAUUUGCUCUUAAUAAUGUUAAUAACUUUACUCUGCUUCUAAAUAUGAUUUAUAACAAACUUAAAUAUUAAAAC